Molecule: long non-coding RNA, 1092 nt
Filed under: Homo sapiens (human)
Lineage: Eukaryota; Metazoa; Chordata; Mammalia; Primates; Hominidae
Description: long non-coding RNA NONHSAT203591.1
Source: RNAcentral
GACAGACUCACCUCCAACCCCCUGGCCUCCCACGACUACAUCCUGAAGAUUGUGCCCACGGUUUAUGAGGACAAGAGUGGCAAGCAGCGGUACUCCUACCAGUACACGGUGGCCAACAAGGAAUACGUCGCCUACAGCCACACGGGCCGCAUCAUCCCUGCAAUCUGGUUCCGCUACGACCUCAGCCCCAUCACGGUCAAGUACACAGAGAGACGGCAGCCGCUGUACAGAUUCAUCACCACGAUCUGUGCCAUCAUUGGCGGGACCUUCACCGUCGCCGGCAUCCUGGACUCAUGCAUCUUCACAGCCUCUGAGGCCUGGAAGAAGAUCCAGCUGGGCAAGAUGCAUUGACGCCACACCCAGCCUAAUGGCCGAGGACCCUGGGCAUCGCCAGCCUUGCCUCCAGUGCCCUGUCUCCUUUGGCCCUCAAUCUGGUCCCAAAUCUGGCUGUGUCCCAAAGGGUGUGUGGGAAGUGGGGGGAAAGUAGAGGAUGGCUCGAUGUUUUGCAGCUACCUCUUUUCCCCGUGUUUCUUUUUAGACAAAUUACACUGCCUGAAGUUGCAGUUCCCCUUUCCCUGGGGAGCCCCAAGAACAGAGUCAGGCAAGGGGUGGGGAGUCCAGGGAUCUUGGGGACCCCUCCUAGGAGAGCUGCAGUCUCUUCCCUCAGGGGAACAUCCCAGAAUGCAUAUCGAUCAGCUCUCAGCCAGGCUUCGACAAUCUCGCAGCCCCCACUAGGUGGACACAUUAAUGAUUUGGUUUCUCCCCUGGGCAGCCAACCUGCCCCAGAGGCACCAGACCUGGGCUUUCAGCUUUGGGACCAGGCUGCCCAAAGGUACUCCUUUAUACACCCGGCACCUUCCACGAAAGAUGGUACUUCCCAAGCAAGCCCCUAUGAUUUGUCACUAUAGAUGGAACCCUGACUUCUGCCCCAUCCCUUCCUGCCCAACCUAGAACCCAGGCCUCAAGUCUUUACCCCACCCCUUUCUUGUUCUUCCAAGAAGCAGAUGCCCAGUUGCUCAGCAGCAGCGGUAGAGACUUGAAUCUGCCCACCAGUCACAAGGCGGGUCACAGAUUCCUCUUCCUCUCUUCUCC